UGGGGAAUAUUGGACAAUGGGCGAAAGCCUGAUCCAGCCAUGCCGCGUGUGUGAAGAAGGUCUUCGGAUUGUAAAGCACUUUAAGUUGGGAGGAAGGGCAGUAAGCGAAUACCUUGCUGUUUUGACGUUACCGACAGAAUAAGCACCGGCUAACUCUGUGCCAGCAGCCGCGGUAAUACAGAGGGUGCAAGCGUUAAUCGGAAUUACUGGGCGUAAAGCGCGCGUAGGUGGUUCGUUAAGUUGAAUGUGAAAGCCCCGGGCUCAACCUGGGAAUUGCAUCAAAAACUGGCGAGCUAGAGUAGGGAAGAGGGUGGUGGAAUUUCCUGUGUAGCGGUAAAAUGCGUAGAUAUAGGAAGGAACACCAGUGGCGAAGGCGACCACCUGGGCUCAUACUGACACUGAGGUGCGAAAGCGUGGGGAGCAAACAGG
Molecule: ribosomal RNA, 429 nt
Filed under: Pseudomonadota bacterium
Lineage: Bacteria; Pseudomonadati; Pseudomonadota
Description: Proteobacteria bacterium partial 16S ribosomal RNA
Rfam family: Bacterial small subunit ribosomal RNA
Source: RNAcentral